GACGAACGCUGGCGGCGUGCCUAGUACAUGCAAGUCGAACGAGAGCGACCGGUGCUUGCACUGGUCAAUCUAGUGGCGAACGGGUGAGUAACACGUGGGUAACCUGCCCAUCAGAGGGGGAUAACAUUCGGAAACGGAUGCUAAAACCGCAUAGGUCUUCGAACCGCAUGGUUUGAAGAGGAAAAGAGGCGCAAGCUUCUGCUGAUGGAUGGACCCGCGGUGCAUUAGCUAGUUGGUGAGGUAACGGCUCACCAAGGCCGUGAUGCAUAGCCGACCUGAGAGGGUGAUCGGCCACAUUGGGACUGAGACACGGCCCAAACUCCUACGGGAGGCAGCAGUAGGGAAUCUUCCGCAAUGGACGCAAGUCUGACGGAGCAACGCCGCGUGAGUGAAGAAGGUUUUCGGAUCGUAAAACUCUGUUGUUAGAGAAGAACAAGUGCUAGAGUAACUGUUAGCGCCUUGACGGUAUCUAACCAGAAAGCCACGGCUAACUACGUG
Molecule: ribosomal RNA, 498 nt
Filed under: uncultured bacterium
Lineage: Bacteria
Description: partial 16S ribosomal RNA
Rfam family: Bacterial small subunit ribosomal RNA
Source: RNAcentral